GGAUGCUUCAGAUCUGUGGUGGUUCUCCCACCAACUGGCCUAAUCUCCAUCUGUGGGAUGCUGCUGCUGCUGACCUUCCUCCAGCCCACUGCUUCCAGCUUCCCAUUUCCAUCAAUCUACUCUGCAUCACCCUCACUAUACUUGAUUUGCUCAUCUACAUAUUUUUGAAUUUACCACCAGCUAUAUAUAUAUAUAUAUAUAUAUAUAGUAUAUUUAAUGCCAGAGCCAUACACCAUAGCAGUAAACUAUAAUCAGUUUCCAGCCCAGAGGGAUAUAUGCGCAGAUUUUUUUAAAUACCAUGAAGAAGACUAUAUACAGGAAGAUGAGGUAUCAGUUCUUGCACAUAGAUAUACAACAGUCCUUUAUUACUCCCCAGGUCAGGGGAAAUUUCCAGUGUUAGAGCAGCAAAAAUCUUUCAGAGCAGCACUAACUACAGUUUACUACAGUAAAGAUAAUUAUAAUAACAAUAAUAUAUACAAGAAUGAAAAAUGAAUAAAUACAGUAUUACUACACUAUAAGUGACAUCAGCAUAAAGUGGCUUGUGGAAUACAUUUAAAGUGCAGAAAAUGCCAGCAGUACAAGGAGUUGUGGAUAUUUUCUCAAAACAGCAGAGGCUCAUGGGUAACGUGGUUCUGAGGCAGCCAGGAGCAGAGGCUCAUGGGUAACGUGUCUCUGAGCCAGCCAGGAGCAGAGGCUCAUGGACUCUCGUGACAUGCAUCGACGUGCCUGUGACACACUCACCGCAUGGAUCGAGGCUAUGUUGUUGAAGGACGGGGGCCACGUGGAACAGCAGCAGCAUCAGCAGGAGCAGCAGGAGCAGCAGGCCGGUCGAAGCAUACAGCAGCUGAGGGCUCACGUCAUUGGGGUCAACGACGUGUCGUCCGAGUCCCACGUUUGGCUCCAGAGCUCCGGGGACAGUGUAUACAUCGGGCUGCUCUACCUGUCCGACGGGCAGCUGUCACAGUUGUUUGUUGUCUGUAGUAUGUUUAACUACAGAACAAACAUUUUGGGACAUGUUACAGAUAAAGCAUAUAAUGAAUUAAUGGAGAACAUAUACCUGGAAGUUUUAUAAUAAACCCCAUGACAAUUGUUAACUUCAGGCCCAAUUUGCUGCAUUACUGUGUUUUCUAAUUGUCUGAAAACAAAUACCUCUGGAUUUUGGACUGUUUUUCAGAACGACCAAACACGCGUUUAGAUAUCAUCUUGGCUUUUCAGAACUUACGUUCACAUUCUUUUUUUUUUUUUUUUUUUUUGCCAUUUUAGCUGUGCUUCGUUCCUCUUCUGUCAUCCUAGUGCACUGUGUGUUAUCUGUGAUUUUUUUGUUCCUUUUUUUCCCUUUACUGGCAUAUUAAAGGGAGAAAAAUACAAAAAUACAAAUGGACGAUUAUUAUUAUUAUUAUUAUUAUUAUUAUUAUUGUUAUUAUUAUUUUUACUAAAAAAAAAAAAAAAAGACUAAACUGAAUUGAAGUGAAAGACACUAUUUCCCCAGUUGAAUUGGCAGUCACCUGUUUGAUAAAUAAAGUGCAACUUCUUCUGUCACACUACAUGAAUUGCAUUAGCGUUAUAGUGUUUUGUCUCUACCUAACCGCUGUGUGUGGAUACAAAAAUGCCUGUUGUCAAUGCUUGAACCCUAAUACGGUGAUAAUAAUUUAAAAGAAAAAAAAUGUUUCCAUGAUUGUGCCUGUUACAGUUGUUUGUUACUAGAAAACUAGAAAUUGACCUGUCAUCAUUUGUGCAUAACACGUUGCCUGCCGCAUGCACUGAUUUAAAAAAAAAAAAAACAAAACAAAAAAAAACAAAAUUUUUUUUAACUCCAAUUGUGCCUGUUAUAUGCUUACAUGUACUUUUACUCCAAUUGUGCCUGUUAUAUGCUUACAUGUACUUUUUACUCCAGUUGUGCCUGUUAUAUGCUUACAUGUGAUGUUUAACUACACGAUCCAUUUUCAUUGUGUUCUUGCAGAAAUUGCCCUGUCAUCGUUUGUGCACGGCACGUUCAAUUUUUGUCAUUCCAAUAUGAUCUGCUUGUGUGUGUAUCACAGUUUCAAAGUUUUCAUCACGGUUUCUGCCUUCAUCGUCACUUAUGGUCAUUCUGAUAUGAUUUGCCUGUGCAUUUAUCAAAUUGUUAAUCACACUUUCAGCUUUAAGCGUGAAUUUUAGUCAAUCUGAUAUGAUUUGCCUGCGCAUGUACCAUAUUUUUCAUCAUAUUUUCUGCUUUAAUCAUGACCUCUUCAAGAGGUUAUCUUGUUAUAACCUAGAUUGAAGUCGGUGAAGAUGGCUUUAAGCAGUAUGAUGUCAUCACGGCUCUGGACAUGGACGCCAUGAUGAGUACGAUGUACGCGUGGCUGCAGAA
Molecule: long non-coding RNA, 2350 nt
Organism: Amphiprion ocellaris (clown anemonefish)
Lineage: Eukaryota; Metazoa; Chordata; Actinopteri; Pomacentridae
Source: Ensembl